Non-coding RNA from Brachypodium distachyon (stiff brome), 138 nucleotides. The record is from Rfam. NCBI's taxonomy places the organism in Eukaryota, Viridiplantae, Streptophyta, Magnoliopsida, Poales, Poaceae.
UAAAUACUCCCUCCAUCCGGUAUUAAGUGUCGCAAAUUUUUCUAUAGGUACGCAUAUAUCUACACACUAAAACGCGUCUAGAUACAUGCUUAUCUAGACAAAGUUGUGACACUUGAUACCGGACGGAGGGAGUAUAUG